Molecule: ribosomal RNA, 307 nt
Filed under: uncultured eukaryote
Lineage: Eukaryota
Description: partial 18S ribosomal RNA
Rfam family: Eukaryotic small subunit ribosomal RNA
Source: RNAcentral
CCCUUAGACGUUCUGGGCCGCACGCGCGCUACACUGACGAAGGCAACGAGCUUUCCUUUACCGAAAGGUACGGGUAAUCUUUUGAAACUUCGUCGUGCUGGGGAUAGAUCCUUGCAAUUUUUGAUCUUAAACGAGGAAUGCCUAGUAAGCGCAAGUCAUCAACUUGCGUUGAUUACGCCCCUGCCCUUUGUACACACCGCCCGUCGCUACUACCGAUUGAAUGGUUUAGUGAGGCCUUCGGAUCCGCGACUCGUUUGUGGAGAAGUUGGACAAACUCAGUCAUUUAGAGGAAGUAAAAGUCGUAACA